RNAcentral lists this ribosomal RNA (470 nucleotides) under Enterococcus casseliflavus. RNAcentral describes it as "bacterial SSU rRNA". It matches the Rfam family "Bacterial small subunit ribosomal RNA", at positions 70 to 520 of the family's 1533-position model. The record is from RNAcentral. Lineage: Bacteria; Bacillati; Bacillota; Bacilli; Lactobacillales; Enterococcaceae.
UCACCGGAGCUUGCUCCACCGAAAGAAAAAGAGUGGCGAACGGGUGAGUAACACGUGGGUAACCUGCCCAUCAGAAGGGGAUAACACUUGGAAACAGGUGCUAAUACCGUAUAACACUAUUUUCCGCAUGGAAGAAAGUUGAAAGGCGCUUUUGCGUCACUGAUGGAUGGACCCGCGGUGCAUUAGCUAGUUGGUGAGGUAACGGCUCACCAAGGCAACGAUGCAUAGCCGACCUGAGAGGGUGAUCGGCCACACUGGGACUGAGACACGGCCCAGACUCCUACGGGAGGCAGCAGUAGGGAAUCUUCGGCAAUGGACGAAAGUCUGACCGAGCAACGCCGCGUGAGUGAAGAAGGUUUUCGGAUCGUAAAACUCUGUUGUUAGAGAAGAACAAGGAUGAGAGUAAAAUGUUCAUCCCUUGACGGUAUCUAACCAGAAAGCCACGGCUAACUACGUGCCAGCAGCCGCGG